AUUAAACGCUGGCGGCAUGCCUUACACAUGCAAGUCGAACGGCAGCACGGGGGCAACCCUGGUGGCGAGUGGCGAACGGGUGAGUAAAGCAUCGGAACGUGCCCUGGAGUGGGGGAUAACGUAGCGAAAGUUACGCUAAUACCGCAUAUUCUGUGAGCAGGAAAGCAGGGGAUCGCAAGACCUUGCGCUCUGGGAGCGGCCGAUGUCGGAUUAGCUAGUUGGUGGGGUAAAGGCCUACCAAGGCGACGAGCCGUAGCGGGUCUGGGAGGAUGAUCCGCCACACUGGGACUGAGACACGGCCCAGACUCCUACGGGAGGCAGCAGUGGGGAAUUUUGGACAAUGGGCGAAAGUCUGAUCCAGCCAUGCCGCGUGAGUGAAGAAGGCCUUCGGGUUGUAAAGCUCUUUCGGUGGGGAAGAAAUUGCAUAGGCUAAUACCCUAUGUAGAUGACGGUACCUGGAGAAGAAGCACCGGCUAACUACGUGCCAGCAGCCGCAGUAACAC
Molecule: ribosomal RNA, 503 nt
Filed under: uncultured bacterium
Lineage: Bacteria
Description: bacterial SSU rRNA
Rfam family: Bacterial small subunit ribosomal RNA
Source: RNAcentral